RNAcentral lists this ribosomal RNA (460 nucleotides) under uncultured bacterium. RNAcentral describes it as "partial 16S ribosomal RNA". It matches the Rfam family "Bacterial small subunit ribosomal RNA", at positions 338 to 795 of the family's 1533-position model. The record is from RNAcentral.
CCUACGGGAGGCAGCAGUGAGGAAUAUUGGUCAAUGGACGAGAGUCUGAACCAGCCAAGUAGCGUGAAGGAUGACUGCCCUAUGGGUUGUAAACUUCUUUUAUAUGGGAAUAAAACAGGGUAUGCAUACCCUCUUGUAUGUACCAUAUGAAUAAGGAUCGGCUAACUCCGUGCCAGCAGCCGCGGUAAUACGGAGGAUCCGAGCGUUAUCCGGAUUUAUUGGGUUUAAAGGGAGCGUAGGUGGAUUGUUAAGUCAGUUGUGAAAGUUUGCGGCUCAACCGUAAAAUUGCAGUUGAAACUGGCAGUCUUGAGUACAGUAGAGGUGGGCGGAAUUCGUGGUGUAGCGGUGAAAGGCUUAGAUAUCACGAAGAACUCCGAUUGCGAAGGCAGCUCACUGGACUGCAACUGACACUGAUGCUCGAAAGUGUGGGUAUCAAACAGGAUUAGAUACUCGAGUAGUC